GCAAUGAUGAUCUUCAAAGUGGUUUUUGAAAUGAAUAAUGAAAAUUAUUCGUAUCCUCUAAGAAGAACUGAGCAU
Cryptotermes secundus is the source of this 75-nucleotide small nucleolar RNA. RefSeq annotates it as small nucleolar RNA SNORD61. The transcript has a single exon. The record is from RefSeq and is a predicted model, not a curated record. Lineage: Eukaryota; Metazoa; Arthropoda; Insecta; Blattodea; Kalotermitidae.